Molecule: ribosomal RNA, 1444 nt
Filed under: uncultured organism
Description: SSU rRNA
Rfam family: Bacterial small subunit ribosomal RNA
Source: RNAcentral
CAGGCUUAACACAUGCAAGUCGAGGGGCAGCAUUUCAGUUUGCUUGCAAACUGGAGAUGGCGACCGGCGCACGGGUGAGUAACACGUAUCCAACCUGCCGAUAACUCGGGGAUAGCCUUUCGAAAGAAAGAUUAAUACCCGAUGGUAUAAUCAGACCGCAUGGUCUUGUUAUUAAAGAAUUUCGGUUAUCGAUGGGGAUGCGUUCCAUUAGGCAGUUGGUGAGGUAACGGCUCACCAAACCUUCGAUGGAUAGGGGUUCUGAGAGGAAGGUCCCCCACAUUGGAACUGAGACACGGUCCAAACUCCUGCGGGAGGCAGCAGUGAGGAAUAUUGGUCAAUGGGCGCAGGCCUGAACCAGCCAAGUAGCGUGAAGGAUGACUGCCCUAUGGGUUGUAAACUUCUUUUAUACGGGAAUAAAGUUUUCCACGUGUGGAAUUUUGUAUGUACCAUAUGAAUAAGGAUCGGCUAACUCCGUGCCAGCAGCCGCGGUAAUACGGAGGAUCCGAGCGUUAUCCGGAUUUAUUGGGUUUAAAGGGAGCGUAGGUGGACAGUUAAGUCAGUUGUGAAAGUUUGCGGCUCAACCGUAAAAUUGCAGUUGAUACUGGCUGUCUUGAGUACAGUAGAGGUGGGCGGAAUUCGUGGUGUAGCGGUGAAAUGCUUAGAUAUCACGAAGAACUCCGAUUGCGAAGGCAGCUCACUGGACUGCAACUGACACUGAUGCUCGAAAGUGUGGGUAUCAAACAGGAUUAGAUACCCUGGUAGUCCACACAGUAAACGAUGAAUACUCGCUGUUUGCGAUAUACAGUAAGCGGCCAAGCGAAAGCAUUAAGUAUUCCACCUGGGGAGUACGCCGGCAACGGUGAAACUCAAAGGAAUUGACGGGGGCCCGCACAAGCGGAGGAACAUGUGGUUUAAUUCGAUGAUACGCGAGGAACCUUACCCGGGCUUAAAUUGCAUUUGAAUAUAUUGGAAACAAUAUAGCCGUAAGGCAAAUGUGAAGGUGCUGCAUGGUUGUCGUCAGCUCGUGCCGUGAGGUGUCGGCUUAAGUGCCAUAACGAGCGCAACCCUUAUCUUUAGUUACUAACAGGUCAUGCUGAGGACUCUAGAGAGACUGCCGUCGUAAGAUGUGAGGAAGGUGGGGAUGACGUCAAAUCAGCACGGCCCUUACGUCCGGGGCUACACACGUGUUACAAUGGGGGGUACAGAAGGCAGCUACCUGGUGACAGGAUGCUAAUCCCAAAAGCCUCUCUCAGUUCGGAUCGAAGUCUGCAACCCGACUUCGUGAAGCUGGAUUCGCUAGUAAUCGCGCAUCAGCCAUGGCGCGGUGAAUACGUUCCCGGGCCUUGUACACACCGCCCGUCAAGCCAUGAAAGCCGGGGGUACCUGAAGUACGUAACCGCAAGGAGCGUCCUAGGGUAAAACUGGUAAUUGGGGCUAAGUCAUA